AGCUGUUUCUUAGUCUAAAAAACUGAGAGAGUAAGGGCUGGGUAAGACGGGUGCCAGCCGCCGCGGUAAUACCUGCAGCUCAAGUGGUGGCCGCUAUUAUUGGGCCUAAAACGUCCGUAGCCUGUUUAGUAAAUGCUUGGGUAAAUUGUGUAGCUUAACUAUACGAAUACCGGGUAGACUGCUAAACUUGGGACCGGGAGAGGCUAGAGGUACUCCUGGGGUAGAGGUGAAAUUCUGUAAUCCUCAGGGGGACCACCAGUGGCGAAGGCGUCUAGCUAGAACGGGUCUGACGGUGAGGGACGAAGCCCUGGGGCGCAAACCGGAUUAGAUACCCGGGUAGUCCAGGGUGUAAACGCUGCUUGCUUGAUGUUAGUUGGGCUCCGAGCCCAACUAGUGUCGGAGAGAAGUUGUUAAGCAAGCUGCCUG
This 426-nucleotide ribosomal RNA is filed under the name uncultured archaeon. RNAcentral describes it as "bacterial SSU rRNA". It matches the Rfam family "Archaeal small subunit ribosomal RNA", at positions 405 to 830 of the family's 1478-position model. The record is from RNAcentral.